Molecule: long non-coding RNA, 1250 nt
Filed under: Cyanistes caeruleus (blue tit)
Lineage: Eukaryota; Metazoa; Chordata; Aves; Passeriformes; Paridae
Description: lncRNA (ENSCCEG00000020435.1)
Source: RNAcentral
AGGGACUUGAAAUUUGGCUUUGGGACCGAUCUGGGACUUUCAAUGCCUUCAAACUCCCUGGUUUUGGCCAAGUCAGGUGCUUCUGCAGAUGUGCUGAGGAGGUUUGCCCUGAAGUUUGUUUGGAAUUUGUGCAUCCCUUCAGGCUUCAGGAAGGAAGGAAGGAGGAUUCCUCCCUCCCAGGGCAGGUUGGCAGCCUGAUCUGCCAGAAUCCACCUGUGCUCAGCACAGCACGAGUCUAGAGCAUCUGCUCAGACAGAAUGGACCUUGUUAAACCCAGCUGCCAGGAGAAGGUGGAAUGGAAAGUGGGAGUUACUGUCCCUGCUCAUCGCAGGGGAUUGGACUAAAUGACCUUUAAAGGUCUCUCCCAAGCCAAACUAUUCUAUGAUUUUUCUUGGACUCUCCAUCUCAGGAGCAAGGUGGCAGCAGAAAGGGUGUGAACUUGAUAUUCUCAGCUGGAAGAAAGCCAAGAGGAUGAUUCCUCAGGAAAGCCACGGGAAUGGACACGAUGGAGCUUCACGCCGUGUCCUACAGGGGCUGGCAUAGCUGUCACUGCACAGAGCCGGAGCAGGAGGGGUGGUCACUUCUCCAGAGGAGCAGUUCCAUGGCAAACAACAGCAUUUAUUGAUGGAACACCUGAUAAAUGCCAAGUGACCGUGGGGGAGAGGCGUGUGCUCCACACGGACACUUCCAAACCAGAGGCUGCCCUUGGCUGCCUUCCAGCCCGGCUCCAAGCCCAAUGAGUUGGAGGCACAGAUGAUGCCAAAAACUCCCUGGAGCUCCCAGUGCAGAGUUUGUAGUCCCCUUUUCCCCCCUCCCCCUGUCCCCACGCUUGAUGUUGCAUAGCAGCAAAUCCUCCUCUACAAGCCUGGAUUCUAAUUGCACAACAUCUGUUCCCAUAAUGGCCUGCAAGAGCAUUGUUGUCCUCUGUGUUAUUCAGGCCACUACAAGCACCUCUUAUCACAACGCCUUGCCAGAACAUGACACAGAAUCUGUCAAAUUUCAUUUCUUAGUACCUCAAAUCCCUAUGUGUCUGCUUGGAACAGCCUGUCCUCCAACCUCUGCUGGCUUUCCCAGCAGCUUUUCUCAGCUCCCUCAAGCUACCACGGUGUUUUUGGUUCCCUGAACACAGAGAUACUUCAGAAGGAUUCCAAGCUCCAGGUGGAAUGCUCUGGCACAAGUAUUUUUUAGAUUGAAAUGGUGGGAUUCGUUUUCCUGUGGCUGUCAAUAAAUGAAUUCACUCUUUACGUGCA